This is a small nuclear RNA of Jaculus jaculus (lesser Egyptian jerboa), 183 nucleotides long. Its record names the gene U2. It matches the Rfam family "U2 spliceosomal RNA". Rfam says of the family: U2 is a small nuclear RNA (snRNA) component of the spliceosome (involved in pre-mRNA splicing). Complementary binding between U2 snRNA (in an area lying towards the 5' end but 3' to hairpin I) and the branchpoint sequence (BPS) of the intron results the bulging out of an unpaired adenosine, on the BPS, which initiates a nucleophilic attack at the intronic 5' splice site, thus starting the first of two transesterification reactions that mediate splicing. The record is from Ensembl. NCBI's taxonomy places the organism in Eukaryota, Metazoa, Chordata, Mammalia, Rodentia, Dipodidae.
ACUGUUUCUUGGUUUUUUGGCAAAGACUGAGUGUACUAUUUAUUCUUAUCAGUUCAAUAUCUAGUAUAUCCUGUAUUCAUAAACACUUUGAUUUUUGGAGCAUGGAAAUGGAAUGAAAGCUUGCCCUGUUCACUCUUGUGAUUAACCUGGCAGUACAGUACUUGCAAAAAUAGCAUAGCUCUU